AUAGUCCCCUCGACACGACUGCGAGCGCACGGCGAGACUCGGCGGAUCCGUGUGUGCGGAAACUUGUACAGUUAUCGGCCCCUACUGCGGAACACGGUCCAAGUAGAACUUUGAUCGCAUCCUUUGGCCGUUCUUUGAUAUUCUAGGUUCCAGUUGCGGUGGAUGAUGAGACGUCUCGAUAGAGAUUGAUCUCGAAAUGAAACCGUGGAAAUUAUUCUGAGAAAUAAAUGUUUAGCUCGUAGAUUUGUUCCUAAGAGAAAGUACAGUCUAUUAUAUUGAGAUUUAUUUCUGUGAAAUUCUCUGUCUUUCGCUGAAUUGCUCAGUCUUGUCAGUUUGCCAAUUUUCUGAAUGUUCCAGUAAUGGAAUCCUCGUUUACGCUUCUAUUAUUGACGUUUAUUCCGCGUUUUCGUAAUUAACGCACAGAGAGCCGCAAUCGAAAACGUCGUCGGAUGCUUCAAAUUAAUUUAAUUAUGGCCUUAAUUCGUCCCUUUAAUUGUCCUUUACGCACUCAAGCUCGCGGAUGGCAACCGCGAAAGGAGAAUGACGCGUCGCGUCCCUCUCGGUUAACGGCGCGAGGCGCGGUGGGGGACGGGAAAUAAAUAGGUCCAGUCUCUCCAAAACAACGUGCGUAAUCUUAUCGCGCGCGUAUAUUCCGUGGAUUUUCAUGUUUGCACGGCGCGUUACGCACGUUGAACUUAUUUGCAUACCGUUCGGAUUAUCGCUGACGUUUUAUAUGGCACGAUAAAUAUACACGCUACGUGUAGUCCGAGCGUAGAAAUGAGAUUUCUCCUCUCAGUUUUUUUACAUUUUCGAUUCGACAUAACGGGAAGUACGAAAGGAACUUCCGCUCGAAGUUUAUUUGAAGAAGAAGAGAAUCAUGAUCUGAAAUAUACAGCAAGCAUUUGCCAACGCGUUGACCUUAGAGACUCGAGAGCUGUGAAUCUAAAAUCGAUUUGAUGUUCAACGCGUUCGAGUACGCGGCAGUAAAUGCAUUGACCGACUUUCCGAGGUGACCCUGAAUUGCCAAGACCAAUCUGGAAGGGAAGACAUAGCGACCACCGUCCCUCAUUCAUUGUCCACCGCAGGAGUGCAUUUCAGUGAGGUGUCUGGUUGCACAGGUUGCGCUUUGUGAUCCACAAUAAAGAGAAGAGCCUACUAUCUACUUCCUGCGAUAUUUAUUACCGAAGCACCGUCGACAGGGUGUCAGUUUGCCAUGCAUUCUGUAACGUUCGCGUGUUUUCGCUUACGGACGCGAUGGGUUCUUUGCUACGACGGAAAGCGUCUCGUGAAAAGAUGAUCGACAGCUGACACCGACAGCGAGAAGGCAGAAGAGUGAGAGACAUCGAACGAGUCGAGCAAAGAAGUCGCGAAGAAUAAGGUAAGAAAAUUCGAAAUUCUACCCUUUGGCCAUCAGCGCGAGCACCUGGCAGCAUAUGUGCCAAAUAUAAAAGGACGAACAUCUCUCUGCGGGCUGUUCUCUCCCCCUCUUGUCGCGAAUUUUGUACCUCGCUCGAUUCCCGCUCAGGAGAACCCGAAAAUUCUGCGCGACCACCGGUGCGUCUCGCCUGGCUUUCUUCGAGCGUCGAAAUUAACGGAAGCGCACCGCGUGUCGACCGAUGGUCGAUCAGCUGUUGACCGUGAUUGUUGCCAACUCUGCAUUUAUCUUUAUAGUAACUCUAAUCAUUGUAACUAUUGAUUGAUUAAAUUAUUGAUAAAUA
This is a long non-coding RNA of Ooceraea biroi (clonal raider ant), 1718 nucleotides long. RefSeq lists it as uncharacterized. Lineage: Eukaryota; Metazoa; Arthropoda; Insecta; Hymenoptera; Formicidae. The record is from RefSeq and is a predicted model, not a curated record.